AUUGAACGCUGGCGGCAGGCCUAACACAUGCAAGUCGAGCGGGGACUUCGGUCCUAGCGGCGAACGGGUGAGUAAUGCUUGGGAAUCUGCCCAGUAGUGGGGGAUAACGUCCCGAAAGGGACGCUAAUACCGCAUACGUCCUACGGGAGAAAGAGGGGGAUCUUCGGACCUCUCGCUAUUGGAUGAGCCCAAGUCGGAUUAGCUAGUUGGUAGGGUAAUGGCCUACCAAGGCGACGAUCCGUAGCUGGUCUGAGAGGAUGAUCAGCCACACUGGAACUGAGAAACGGUCCAGACUCCUACGGGAGGCAGCAGGGGGGAAUUUUGGACAAUGGGCGAAAGCCUGAUCCAGCCAUGCCGGGGGGGUGAAGAAGGCCUUCGGGUUGUAAAGCCAUUUAAGGGGGGGGGAAGGUUCGCGGCCUAAUACGUCGCGGAAUUGACGUUACCCGAAGAAUAAACCCCGGCUAACUCUGG
Molecule: ribosomal RNA, 471 nt
Filed under: uncultured bacterium
Lineage: Bacteria
Description: partial 16S ribosomal RNA
Rfam family: Bacterial small subunit ribosomal RNA
Source: RNAcentral